This 400-nucleotide long non-coding RNA is filed under the name Arabidopsis thaliana (thale cress). RNAcentral describes it as "long non-coding RNA (ATHA_LNC000409)". Lineage: Eukaryota; Viridiplantae; Streptophyta; Magnoliopsida; Brassicales; Brassicaceae. The record is from RNAcentral.
CCGCCGGGACAUCUAACGUCAAUCUUAGGAGAACAUCGACCGGGUGCAUCUGUUCCCAAUGCAUAUCCUCUAGUAGGCACUGUGUAUAGCUGGUUGAUGGUGAUCCAGUUCUUUACCCUAUCACCAAAUAACUCGAAACAUAGAUCCGCGUAAUCCUUGAAAUCGUCUCUGAGCAUAUUAUAAAAUCAUUUCGUUAGUGCAAGAAUAUGUUGUUAUCAUUCUUUAUAAGCGACAUGGCAUCAACAACAUACACGAUCGUUUUGUUCAAGAAACCGUUAUAUUCAUCUUGUAGUGUUUGAGGAAGGUCCCAAUGAAAGAGGGUAACAAAGGGCGUCAUAUUCUUUGCGACGAGGCCAUCUAUGAGACCGUUGUAGUACUUAAUAGCUCCUGGGUUCACUCC